Molecule: ribosomal RNA, 1155 nt
Filed under: Escherichia coli
Lineage: Bacteria; Pseudomonadati; Pseudomonadota; Gammaproteobacteria; Enterobacterales; Enterobacteriaceae
Description: partial 23S ribosomal RNA
Rfam family: Bacterial large subunit ribosomal RNA
Source: RNAcentral
UUUUGUAUAAUGGGUCAGCGACUUAUAUUCUGUAGCAAGGUUAACCGAAUAGGGGAGCCGAAGGGAAACCGAGUCUUAACUGGGCGUUAAGUUGCAGGGUAUAGACCCGAAACCCGGUGAUCUAGCCAUGGGCAGGUUGAAGGUUGGGUAACACUAACUGGAGGACCGAACCGACUAAUGUUGAAAAAUUAGCGGAUGACUUGUGGCUGGGGGUGAAAGGCCAAUCAAACCGGGAGAUAGCUGGUUCUCCCCGAAAGCUAUUUAGGUAGCGCCUCGUGAAUUCAUCUCCGGGGGUAGAGCACUGUUUCGGCAAGGGGGUCAUCCCGACUUACCAACCCGAUGCAAACUGCGAAUACCGGAGAAUGUUAUCACGGGAGACACACGGCGGGUGCUAACGUCCGUCGUGAAGAGGGAAACAACCCAGACCGCCAGCUAAGGUCCCAAAGUCAUGGUUAAGUGGGAAACGAUGUGGGAAGGCCCAGACAGCCAGGAUGUUGGCUUAGAAGCAGCCAUCAUUUAAAGAAAGCGUAAUAGCUCACUGGUCGAGUCGGCCUGCGCGGAAGAUGUAACGGGGCUAAACCAUGCACCGAAGCUGCGGCAGCGACACUAUGUGUUGUUGGGUAGGGGAGCGUUCUGUAAGCCUGUGAAGGUGUGCUGUGAGGCAUGCUGGAGGUAUCAGAAGUGCGAAUGCUGACAUAAGUAACGAUAAAGCGGGUGAAAAGCCCGCUCGCCGGAAGACCAAGGGUUCCUGUCCAACGUUAAUCGGGGCAGGGUGAGUCGACCCCUAAGGCGAGGCCGAAAGGCGUAGUCGAUGGGAAACAGGUUAAUAUUCCUGUACUUGGUGUUACUGCGAAGGGGGGACGGAGAAGGCUAUGUUGGCCGGGCGACGGUUGUCCCGGUUUAAGCGUGUAGGCUGGUUUUCCAGGCAAAUCCGGAAAAUCAAGGCUGAGGCGUGAUGACGAGGCACUACGGUGCUGAAGCAACAAAUGCCCUGCUUCCAGGAAAAGCCUCUAAGCAUCAGGUAACAUCAAAUCGUACCCCAAACCGACACAGGUGGUCAGGUAGAGAAUACCAAGGCGCUUGAGAGAACUCGGGUGAAGGAACUAGGCAAAAUGGUGCCGUAACUUCGGGAGAAGGCACGCUGAUAUGUAGGUG